This 592-nucleotide ribosomal RNA is filed under the name uncultured bacterium. RNAcentral describes it as "bacterial SSU rRNA". It matches the Rfam family "Bacterial small subunit ribosomal RNA", at positions 225 to 814 of the family's 1533-position model. The record is from RNAcentral.
AGAUGGGCGUGCCUGAUUAGGUAGUUGGUAGGGUAAAGGCCUACCAAGCCCAACGAUCAGUAGCUGAUGUGAGCAUGAUCAGCCCACACGGGCACUGAGACACGGGCCCGACUCCUACGGGAGGCAGCUAAGGAAUAUUUGGUCAAUGGACGCAAAGUCUGAACCAGCCCAUGCCGCGUGAAAGGAAAAGGUCCUCUGGAUUGUAAAACUUCUUUUAUCUGGGGACGAAAACACUGUUUUUUCUAACAGCUUGACGGUACCCAGAGGGAAUAAGCACCCGGCUAACUCCGUGCCAGCGAGCCGGUAAUACGGAGGGUGCGAAGCGUUAUCCGGAUUCACUGGGUUUAAAGGGUGCGUAGGGGUAAUUAAGUCCGUGGUGAAAAUCCUGCAGCUUAACUGCAGAACUGCCGUGGAUACUUUUUCUUGAAUGUUGUUGAGGUGAGUGGAACAAGUCAUGUAGCGGUGAAAUGCUUAGACGACUUAGAACACCGAUUGCGAAGGCAGCUCACUAAACAAAUAUUGACGCUGAGGCACAAGCGUGGGUAGCAAACAGGAUUAGAUACCCUGGUAGUCCACGCCCUAAACGAUGGAU